RNAcentral lists this transfer RNA (75 nucleotides) under Candidatus Berkelbacteria bacterium RIFCSPHIGHO2_01_FULL_50_36. RNAcentral's name for it is "tRNA-Ile". It matches the Rfam family "tRNA". Rfam says of the family: Transfer RNA (tRNA) molecules are approximately 80 nucleotides in length. RNAcentral also lists the same sequence under 2 other names. The record is from RNAcentral. Lineage: Bacteria; Candidatus Berkelbacteria.
GGGCCCGUAGCUCAACGGUAGAGCAAAUGCCUUAUAUGCAUUUGGUUGCAGGUUCGAAUCCUGCCGGGCCCACAA